GACGUAGGGCGCGAGCGUUGUCCGGAUUUAUUGGGCGUAAAGAGCUCGUAGGCGGCUCGUUGCGUCAACCGUGAAAACCCGGGGCUUAACUUCGGGCUUGCGGUUGAUACGGGCGGGCUGGAGUUCGGUAGAGGUGGGUGGAACUCCUGGUGGAGUGGUGAAAUGCGUAGAGAUCAGGAAGAACACCCGUGGCGAAGGCGGCCCACUGGGCCGGUACUGACGCUGAGGCGCGAAGGCGUGGGGAGCGAACGGG
RNAcentral lists this ribosomal RNA (253 nucleotides) under uncultured bacterium. RNAcentral's name for it is "partial 16S ribosomal RNA". It matches the Rfam family "Bacterial small subunit ribosomal RNA", at positions 524 to 776 of the family's 1533-position model. The record is from RNAcentral.